Molecule: RNA transcript, 3022 nt
Organism: Danaus plexippus (monarch butterfly)
Lineage: Eukaryota; Metazoa; Arthropoda; Insecta; Lepidoptera; Nymphalidae
Exons: 10
Source: RefSeq, a predicted model, not a curated record
CGUAUGAACAUCACGUGAACUACGGAAAUAAUAAUAAUAAAAUUGAUAUACCAAAAAAUUAAGAAACUAAAACAUAUUAAAUGUUUUAAUGUCAGACAUUAUAAUUUUAGUGAAUAGUGAGUGCAAAAAUUCAUGAUAAUUACUAUGAACAUUAGUUUAGAAGACGAAAUAAAAUUGUUUUGGGAGUACGUUAAGCGUGACAUGGGAUAGCAAACCAUCAUUCCCGUCCUGGAUUCAGUGUUCAACAGUAUACAGAAGUAAGAACGAUGUUCAAAAUAGGAGUAAUAUUAGUAAUUGUAGCUUCAGCUUUAUCAGCUGAAAUACCAUCACAUUUAGAAAAGGAUCCUUACAAGCCUGAUAUUGAUGUUGAGACCCACGCUAUUAAUAAUGUACCUUCCAAACUUGACUUGGAACGUCAUCCAGUAUACAGGUCAGAAGAACUUAGAAGUACUGGCCGUGCAAGAAUAGAACAAGUGCUAGUUCAGGGAGGUAAUGUGAAACAUGAUAUGUUAGCUGAUGAACCAGCUCCAGCCACAGAAGUUAAUAGAAUCGAUUCAGGUUUUCCAUUCUCUGCUCCUGUAGAAGUAGCAUAUCCAGAUAUUCCUUACGCCCCUGGUUAUGGAUAUCCAAAUAACGGAUAUUCUGCACAAAACAGUUAUGACGUAUAUGGCAACAAUCCAUCCGAUUACUACAUGGAACCAGACACGUCAUCUUUUGGAUUACUUUGGAGUCAAGUACCUGAUUCGAGGACCCUAGUUAGCUACGCUGGAAGAACCAUUGGUUGGAUAUUCAGUAGUAUAUUCGUAUUAAUGAUCGGAUCUUUCUUGACUAUAAGCGUUUGUACUUACACUAAUUUCUGCAAGAUUACCUUUAACGGAGUUGGUCCUAUCCAUGAAGAGAUGCGUUCUCUGAUUACACCAGAGAGGUUGGAAAAAAUCAGUCAUGCUGCCGAUUUUGUGAAAACCGCAAUAGACAAAUAUCAAAAAAUUAAAAUGGUUGAACCCGGCACAAGAAAACGGAGAGCUGCUUUCUACUGAGAUAAAUGUGAUCCUCGGGGAAAAUUAUGUUAAUUCAAGUGUUAAACUUGAAAAUAUAUUACACGUAAAUUAUAGAAUUUAAAAAUUAAUUAAGUAAAUAAAAAAAGAUGUUGAAGAUCAUAAUCAUCGCUUCCAUAGUAUCUACUGCUUUCUCAAAACAAUAUGCGUACAUCGACAAUAAUCUAGUGGAAUUUGCGGAUCCUACUCCUCUACCUUAUCCGUAUCAGGAACUUAAUCCUUUAAAUGCUUCACAACAAUCUAAGUCCGGAAUCCAAACUGCUGUCAGUUUAGGACAGGUGGUACCUAAUGUCGAAACUGAAGCCGUCGUGGAAUCUCCGUUAAGUGUUCUUGGUUCUUUGGUGUUGAGUGCUAUUGGAUGUCUGAAGAGAAUAUUUGUGAAUAUCAUUACCACCAUACCAACCUUAAUCUUUUCCUUAUUCGGUAUUUACAAUUUUGCCUCGCUUUGCAAGUAUUUCAACGUCCAGACCAUUUUAAGCAAAACAGAAUUAGGUUCCUUUAUGACCACAGACAAAUUGAAAAGAGCAGUAGAAUUUGUGGAAACAGCAAUCAAUAAAUAUAAUACAGUUCAAAAUUAUAAGGCUUAGUUUAAGAAAUUUGUUUUAUUUAAUUCUUACCAAAUUGUCAUAAAAGUGAUUACUUAACAUCUUGUUUUAUUAGUUUUAUAUGUUAUUUUAUUUGCAAUCAAUUUGUUUGUUGCAAGUCUAGAUUUUUUUAGUAUGAUAAAUUUCUGGGCCUUCCAAAUAGCGUGACUAAUAGAUUAUGCUAUUAACUCUUCAUACAUUUUCUAUGUAUCUACUUCUAUCUAAUCUUGAUCAAUUCAUAUUGUAUCUUAUGAGCAGGCAUUAAUAAAAGUUUUUAAAGUUAUAAUUAACUAAACAAAUUUGAGAUCAUAGAUGACCGUCGUAAGCUAACGAGGAGGACUUUUAAUAUUUUGUAGAAUUACAUAGGUAAUAUUUUUCAUAUACUUUAAAACGAAAAUUUCCUUUUAUGGUUUGGCUGUUUAAAAGGGUGUUUUACUCUGACCUGCAUAUACAUAUAGUGUAAGCGUUAAAGUUGUUCCACAAGUUAAGAUAACCUUGUGUAUGAUGUCACUCCGUAGCAAAUUAUUUUCGUCCUAAUGACUCAGACAUAAUACUGAGAAUGAACCAUGACAGACGAACAGUGUUUGCGAAUUAAAGUGUGGUUAAUGUCGUGUUACAAAUUAACGAAAUGUAUAAUAAAUAAUAAAUGAUGUAUUUUAAAUCUACAUUAUAAAACAAAUAACCUUAAACGGAGGCAACAAUAACAAAAAUAACAGUGAACUUGAAUCUCCAGACAAAUAAUUGUUUUAGUGCCGACAAAGUAAAUAAUAAAAACAACGGUUCAAAGUUAUAUGUAUGCGGGCUGUGUCAUUGCCGUCUUAUCUUAAGAACUGCGUGAUACCAUAUGUUUUAACAAAGUAUUCAUAGCAGUUGCGAUUUUGCUUUGUAUGUGCAUGGUACUCUUAUCACCACGUCAUCUGCCAAGCAUUGUUUAUUGCAUUCAACCGUUAUCAAGACUUUAUCUGGUGUGUUACAGUAAACCACAAAGUACUAACAGACUUACAUGAGAUUAGCUGUGUUCAGGACACGAAUCGGGAUCAAAAAAUGGGUAAUUCUAAAAGUAAGAAGAUGAAAAUCACCCAAAGCGACGGCCAACAGACGAAUGACAAUCGAGAACGCAUUAACACCAUCAAAACCGAAACAAAUGAUGUGGAUUUAACUAAGAAAAAUAUUGAAGGAGAUUCUAAUAACGAACAAAUAGAAGAAAAAAGUAAUGACAACGCCAGUAGUGCAUCUACAGUGGAGGUUUUAGAUGAUAAGUGAAAAAUGUGCCAAAUUAUGAUUAAUAAAUUUAUUUGUAAUUUUUACAAGUGCAAUCUCCUUAAGGCUAUCUCUUAACAAUGUGUUUUUGUAAUGUAAAAUAAAAAUCAAUUAUUAAAAAAA